Molecule: long non-coding RNA, 8152 nt
Filed under: Lactuca sativa (garden lettuce)
Lineage: Eukaryota; Viridiplantae; Streptophyta; Magnoliopsida; Asterales; Asteraceae
Description: long non-coding RNA (LSAT_LNC009603)
Source: RNAcentral
CUAAGUAUGAGAUUGUACCAUGUUCUUUGCCAAAGGAGCCAAUUCUCUUUUAUUGUCAAGAGAAGGGGCAUUGGAGACGAAGCUGCCCUAUCUACCUAAGAUCUAAAAGAUGGGAGAGUCUAGUGUUAUGACUCUUCUUCAGGUAUGAAAUCCACUAUCUAGCUCUUUUAAGUUCCUAUUCUACAUUCUUAAUUCAUGAUGUGAUUGUUGGAUAUAGUGUCUAAGCCCAUAACUAUAUUUGGUAUGUACUUGACCCGACCCGGUAUGGUCCAUUUGGGUUGCACUUCACCCAAACAAUUUAUGGAUAAUAUUUGAGAAUAGUACAAGUUAUGAUUUAUUAAUAUAUUAUAAGUUCUAAUAUAUUAAUAUAAGAUCAUAUUAUUUAAUUAGUAGUGAUCUAUAAUUAAUCUAGGAUUAAUUUAGUGAUCAAAGAUAUUACUAAUUAAAUAUGGGCUUCUAUAUUUAUAUAGUGUGGGCUUAUGCUUAUUUGGAAUGGGCUAGGCUUGCAUGGAAGAAGUCCAUGGAUACUCCAUGGAGCUUUAACCCAUGGAUCUCAUGGAAAUGAAGAGACAUGGGUAUUAGGGUUUACAUGGAUGUAACCCUAAUCCACCACACUAUAUAAAGGAGGCUUUGGUUCUUGAAAUCACACUAGUUGAGGUGAGUAAAGCAAGAGGGCUGAUUUCAAGAUAGUAGUGACUAUUCUCUCAAAGUUCCAAGUUUGUGGUGAUUUGUGAUUUCCAUUUGAGGCAUCCACACUAUUGGUGCUAGGCUCUAAAACUCCAAGGAAUCAACUACAACUACAAGGUAAGUAUUUCUACUAGCUUUAUUUGAUUCAUGUUCCCCAUGCCAUGCUAGUUAGGAUAUGAACCUUGGAAAAAUAAUUAUUUGCAUGUAUCUUAGACAAACAUAGAUCCAAGGUUUAUUAGGGUUGCAUGUACACUUAGGAAGUGUUAGAAUGCUCAAAACCCAUCAGUGGUAUCAGAGCCUAGGCUUGUUUGUUUGUUAUUUGUGCUUAAAAGUUGAAGAAAGUCGAAAAUUCUGCUGUCUGACUGAUGGACUCGGCGAGUCCAUGGGGAGGACUCGUCGAGUUCAUGUGUAUCUUCAACCUACUCGGCGAGUAGGUUUAUGCACUCGGCGAGUAGGGUCGACAGAGUGCAGAAUUUCGACUUGAGUUGCUGGAAAUGGAUUAGAAUCAUUACCCUAAAAUGUUUUGGUACUUGAAAACUUAUUUUAGAAGGUGUAAUGUCUUUUCUAACUCAUUUACAACAACUAGUUAUCAAAAUUACAAAGAUUAAAUGUGAUUUUGAUUCUUGAAAGUGUUCAUAUUCAUAUUCUUGUUCUUAUGAUGUUUAGAUGAUCAUAGGAAUUAUUUGUAACCUAUGUGGUAGAUUAAUUCAUGAUCAUAAUGUGUUUUAAUGGAGUCCAUAACUUGUCCUCAAGUUAUGGAAAACCAAAAGUCUCUUGGAUUAAAAACCAUUAAAAGAACACAAGAGUUAGGAAAAAUGAAAAGUCCUCAUUUUAUUACUCUAUUAAACUCAUAAGUUACAAGAAAUGAAAAGUUUUGAAAGUUUACAAAACUUGCCCUCAAGUUUUGGAACAAGUAAAGUUAAGUUAAAACUUUAGUUCCAACCCCUAGAAUUUUAAAAGUUAAAAUUCAACCCUUAUACUUAUAUUAUUAUGAUUUAAUAAUUAUAUAUAUAUGUAUAAGAACAAAGUCGUCUUACCGCUAGUACGCCUCAUUCACGAAGCCGGUCUAUAAGGUGGGUAUAAGGUUGUUGCCUAUAAAAUGGUGACUUAAUGGGUGUCCACUCUCACCCACCGCUUGCUUGAUCGGUGGAGGGUCGUUAGCCGAACGGGUAAGACAAGGACUUAUUAAUUCUCAUUCAAAGUAUGAUGAAUAUUAUAAAGUAACUAAAUGUUUUAUUAAAUUCCCAAUCUUAGUUACUUUAGGAAAAAUGUGAAUAAGGUGCUAUUCCAUGAAAUUACACUUUACACUUUGAUUAAGUCGUUGGUGGAGCGUGUGUGGUUAACCGGCACACUAACUUGGACUUAACAAGGUAGGUAAAGGGUGACUUAGGGUUUAUUAUAGUAUCGAUGGAGCGUGUGUGGUUAACCGGCACAUCGAUUGAGUGAUAAACUUUAAGGGUACCAAGUGAUUUGCAUGGUUACUUCACACCUCGUUUUGUGAUCCUCGGUAUCCCAGUCACAAAACUUGGAGGGCACACUCGAGAUUGAAACAUGCCUUUGAAAAGUUCAUUGAAUCUCAAAGAAUCUAGGAAUUUCUAAGAACCAUUCAAAAACCUAAUACUAAAAUAUUGCGGUUUUCGUGGUGGAAAUUGGUGAAUCGUCAUUCACCUACCUUUCAAAUAUGAUAUAGCUUAGAUUACGGCAUACCUCUUCUAAGUUAUAUUAUAUUGUGAUUGGAUCCUAGCCUUAAUAUUACAUUUGGGUGUUUUAUUAAGGACUCUCUUAUAUCUAAACUAAUCUUGUCCUCUUUCCUUCAGAUGUCUUUCAACAAUGCUUCUGGCUCUAAUCCUAAUGGCUCCUUUACCCUUAUGAACUUGUGUGGGAAAGUCACCUUUGAUGGAUCCAACUUCAAUGAGUGGAUCAGAAACAUCAGGAUGAUUACCCGCUACGAGGACAAAGAAUAUGUCCUUGACAAGGAGCUUAAGGAGAUUGAUGAGUCCACUGCAACUCCUCAGGAGAUCGCUGAAUUUCGGGCACAUGAAAGGGAUGCUACGAAAGUGGCUUGCAUCAUGAUGGCCACGAUGACAGCGGAACUCCAAAAGUCUUAUGAGGAUUUCUACCCUUAUGACAUGCACCAAGAUUUGAUGGAAAGAUACCAUCAAAGUGCAAGACAAGAGAGGUAUGAAAUCAUCUGCUCCAUGAUAACAACCAUGAUGAAGGACGGGGAAUCCGUCACGAGCCACAUGCAGAAAAUGCAAAGGUAUGUGGAUCGUUUGCUGAAGCUUAAUGUGAACUUCCCGGAGGAUCUUGCAAUAGAUAUUAUUUUGCAUUCCUUACCAUCGUGCUAUGAUCAAUUCCGCAUGACAUAUCACAUGAACAAGGAAGAAGUCACCCUCAGCAAACUUCAGGGACUUCUCAAGACCGCAGAAACAGGUCUUAAGGGGAAGUCGGUUGCUAUCACUCCUACUCAAAACUCUACUCCGGUUUUGGCAAUCGGGAAAAGUCGAGGGAGGAAGAGAAAGAGCUCUUCUAAGGGUACCAAGGCUCGGACCCUUGAUGGCUCUUCUUCAAGUGGAACCAAGAAAGGUUUCGUUACUCCUUCUUCUGACCCAAAAGAGGCUGAAUGCUUCUAUUGCCAUGAAAAAGCUCAUUGGAAGCGGAACUGCCCAAAAUACCAGCAAGAUGUGAAGGAUGGGAAAGUUAAACCCAACCAUGCAGGUAUUUACACUAUCAUUUCUAAUAACUCACCCCAUUCUAAUUCUUGGGUCCUUGAUACCGGGUGUGGUAUUCACAUUUGUUGUGACUUGCAGGGACUAAGAAGAAGUGAGGAUGUGGAGCAAGGAAGGAUAAACUUGAUCAUGGGGAAUAGGAAAGCUAUACCUGUUACCAAGAUUGGAGUUUAUACUUUAUCGCUAAGUAGUGGGUUUAGUUUAGAUUUGAAUAAGUGUUGUUAUUCGCCAGGAAUGGCAAGAAAUAUUAUUUCCUUUCAUGCUUUGUACAAACAAGGGUUUACCUUUUCAUUUAAUAAUGAAGUUGGUUCUAUAGAUGUUUUCUAUAAUAAUGUCUUUUAUUUUAAAGCAUUACCUUGUGAUGGUGUGUAUGAAGCUGUAUCUGUUGUAGAUAACUUGGGAAAUAAUGUUUUGUGUAUUGAUUCUACUAAUAAUAACUUGGAUAAAGCAUCUUUAUGGCAUUGUCGUCUUGGACAUAUAAGCAAGAAACGCAUAGGCCAACUCCAAAAGGAUGGAGUCUUGGAGUCGUUUGACCUAAAGUCAGAUGAUAGUUGCGAAUCAUGCUUACUUGGAAAAAUGACAAAGUCACCCUUCACAGGUUCGUGUGAGAGGGGUGAAGGUUUGUUGGACCUUAUACACACGGAUGUGUGUGGACCAUUCAAACAUGCCACAAGGGAUGCUAAUCGUUAUUAUUUGACUUUUACUGAUGAUUAUAGUAGAUAUGGAUAUGUCUACUUGAUCAAGCAUAAGUCAGAGACUUUCGAGAGGUUUAAGGAAUUUAAACAGGAAGUCGAGAAUCAAUUGGGCAGGAACAUUAAGAUGCUUCGAUCCGAUCGUGGUGGUGAGUAUCUUAGUUCAGAGUUCCUCGACUAUCUAAGGGAAUGUGGGAUAGUCUCACAAUUGACACCUCCCAGGACACCACAGUUGAAUGGUGUGGCUGAGAGGCGUAAUCGAACCUUGUUAGAUAUGGUUCGUUCCAUGAUGAGUCGAGCUACGCUACCAAUCUCAUUCUGGGGGUAUGCCUUAGAGACUGCCGCCCAUAUUCUUAAUCUAGUCCCUACAAAGAAAGUUGCCAAAACUCCUCACGAGAUGUGGACUGGUAAAGUACCUAAACUAGACCACAUCAAGAUUUGGGGUUGCGAGGCUUUCGUGAGACGCGAGACUCAUGAUAAGCUCGAACCUCGAAGCGAGAGGUGUAUUUUCAUCGGUUACCCACAGCGAUCCUUUGGUUACCUCUUCUACAGACCUAGUGACAAUGUGGUCUUUGUAGCAAGAAGAGGAGUCUUUCGAGAAAGAGAGUUUAUAAGCCAAGGAGACAGUGGGAGGCAAAUUGAUCUUGAAGAAAUUCAAGAAUCAAGCGGUGAAGGAACUUCAAACUCUAGCCCUCAACUUGAGGAGGAAACUCCUGUUGAGCCAAUUGACAAAUCUGUACCUCUGAGACGUUCCACGAGAGUUAGGAGUGCACCUGAGCAUUACUAUGGAUUCCAUAUUACUGCAGAAGGUGAGACACUUAUUAGUGAUGAGACACUAGUAAGUCAAGAUGACCCUAACAGCUACGAGGAAGCCAUGGCAGGCCCCGAGUCUGCUAAAUGGAAAGAGGCUAUGGAUAGCGAGAUACAAUCCAUGUAUGACAAUCAAGUUUGGAACUUGGUUGAAAAUGUACCAGGUCGUAAGACAGUAGGGUGCAAAUGGGUCUUCAAGAAGAAGACCGACAUGGAUGGUAAAGUACACACUUAUAAGGCUAGACUGGUUGCAAAGGGCUUCUCUCAAAUUCCUGGAGUGGAUUAUGAUGAGACCUUUUCUCCGGUAGCCAAGAUUAAGUCUAUUCGGGUUCUGUUAGCCAUAGCUGCAUUUCAUGACUAUGAAAUAUGGCAGAUGGAUGUCAAAACCGCUUUCCUUAAUGGAAAGUUGGCUGAAGAUGUUUACAUGAGUCAGCCAGAGGGUUUUGUCAGCAACGAGUACCCUAAUAGAGUGUGUAAGCUUGAGAAAUCCAUUUAUGGAUUGAAGCAAGCACCUCGCAGAUGGAAUCUUUGCUUUGAUGAAAAGGUCAAGGAAUUUGGCUUUUCUAGGAGUGAAGAUGAAUCUUGUGUGUAUGUCAAGGCUAGUGGGAGUAUAGUUAGCUUUUUGGUAUUGUAUGUGGAUGACAUACUACUCAUAGGAAACGACAUUCCAACCCUGCAGGAAGUAAAGUCCUGGCUUGGGAAGUGUUUCGCUAUGAAGGACCUUGGUGAAGCUGCCUAUAUUCUAGGGAUAAGAAUCUUGAGAGAUCGGAGUAAAAGACUAAUUGGACUUAGUCAGAGUACCUACUUGGAUAAGGUGCUGAAGAGAUUCAGCAUGCAGGAUUCCAAGAAAGGAGAGUUACCCAUCCAGAGUAACACCAGAUUGAGUAAGACACAAAGCCCUAGCACUGAGGCUGAGAUAGCAGAAAUGAGUCGAACACCUUACGCUUCGGCUGUAGGAUCGAUCAUGUAUGCUAUGACGUGUACUCGACCCGAUGUAGCUUUUGCCUUGAGCAUGGUUAGCAGGUAUCAGGCGAACCCUGGCAAGGCACACUGGACUGCGGUAAAGAAUAUCCUCAAGUACCUACGGAGGACUAAGGACUGGGUCCUUACCCUCGGUGGGAGUGAUGACUUGAGAGUUGUAGGGUAUAGUGAUGCUAGCUUCCAGACUGAUAGGGAUAAUUUCCGCUCUCAGUCGGGCUGGGUCUUUACCCUAAACGGAGGAGCAAUUUCUUGGAAGAGUUCCAAGCAAGAGACAGUGGCAGAUUCUACUUGUGAAUCAGAGUAUAUUGCAGCUAGUGAAGCAGCAAAGGAAGCGAUAUGGCUGAAGAACUUCAUUGGAGACCUUGGAGUUGUACCAGCUAUUAAAGAGCCAAUGGAAAUUUUCUGUGAUAGUGAAAGUGCUGUUGCCUUAGCCAAGGAACCAAGGGAUCAUGGGAGAUCCAGACACAUCGACAGAAAAUACCAUUUCAUUAGACAUCGGAUCGAAGAAGGACUCCUCGUGGCAAAGAGGGUAUCAUCGGAUGAGAACCCAGCAGAUCCCCUCACGAAGGGACUGAGUAGGGUUAAGCAUCUCCAGCAUGCUCGGAGCAUAGGGCUGAAGGAUGAUAUAAGUUUUAGUAGUUAGAUAACCCAGAAAUUUGUAAAGUGUAAUUGACAUUUGAUGAUGAAUAAAAGGUGUUUUAUUUAUGAGUAAAGUGUUGCUAUCUCUUGUCGAUCGUUUACUAUAUUUCUUUUGCAUGUUUUGACUUCCAGAAUAAUUUUGUUUGGUAUAACAUAUUAUUCAAACCUCCACAGUCGGUCAUAUGUCGGAAGUAGGUAUGAAUCAAGACUGUCAUGAUGGGUUGCAGAGGUCUAAGGUGUUGGACAAGGCUACAACAAUCAUGAGUGCUCAUAAGUUCUGAGCAUUGGACUCAACCCACGCUCACUGGAAUCACUUCAUGGAAUUUUAUCUCGAGUGAUCGUGAGACGGUAAUAUCAUAUAAGUCUUCAAACCUAGAGAUAUGAUUUGUUACUUACGAGUUGGUUAUGCAUUGAUUGUACGAAAACGCAUUGGUAACUCGAUGUUAUAAAACGUGCUUUUGUGUGUAAUUCAAUGAGUGGUAGAACAAACAUAUGAGUCGAAGUUUAUCUGUUCCUUCUUGGAUUAGAAGCUGAUAUCUGGGCCCCUCGAUGAUUUUGUUUUGACCUAUGUACCGGGCCCGGUCAGAACUAAAUUGAUGUGUUCAGUUGAGUUCUAUGUCAAACAAAUCGGAAAUCGGGAAACAAAUGCUGGACAAUAAGCAAGACAAUGUUCCAUGUAUUUGUCCGGCUGAUAUCUAGAACAGAGGAUUAUAUGAUCACUUAUCUAAAUGGCGCGUUCUAGUUCAACAGAGUUUAAAGAGCUACGAUUGCUGAUCGGUUCCUGAAGUUAUACUUGCAAAUAUAGUUACUAGACUUAUCCAAGUGGGAGACUGUUGGAUAUAGUGUCUAAGUCCAUAACUAUAUUUGGUAUGUACUUGACCCGACCCGGCAUGGUCCAUUUGGGUUGCACUUCACCCGAACAAUUUAUGGAUAAUAUUUGAGAAUAGUACAAGUUAUGAUUUAUUAAUAUAUUAUAAGUUCUAAUAUAUUAAUAUAAGAUCAUAUUAUUUAAUUAGUAGUGAUCUAUAAUUAAUCUAGGAUUAAUUUAGUGAUCAAAGAUAUUACUAAUUAAAUAUGGGCUUCUAUAUUUAUAUAGUGUGGGCUUAUGCUUAUUUGGAAUGGGCUAGGCUUGGUGGGAGAAGUCCAUGGAUACUCCAUGGAGCUUUAACCCAUGGAUCUCAUGGAAAUGAAGAGACAUGGGUAUUAGGGUUUACAUGGAUGUAACCCUAAUCCAUCACACUAUAUAAAGGAGGCUUUGGUUCUUGAAAUCACACUAGUUGACACUUGUUGAGAAGAGGGCCGAUUUCAAGAUAGUAGUGACUAUUCUCUCAAAGUUCCAAGUUUGUGGUGAUUUGUGAUUUCCAUUUGAGGCAUCCACACUAUUGGUGCUAGGCUCUAAAACUCCAAGGAAUCAACUACAACUACAAGGUAAGUAUUUCUACUAGCUUUAUUUGAUUCAUGUUUCCCAUGCCAUGCUAGUUAGGAUAUGAAUCUUGGAAAAAUAAUUAUUUGCAUGUAUCUUAGACAAAAAUAGAUCCAAGGUUUAUUAGGGUUGCAUGUACACUUAGGAAGUGUUAGAAUGCUCAAAACCCAUCAGUGAUAAUAUUACAUUUU